Molecule: long non-coding RNA, 1727 nt
Organism: Plodia interpunctella (Indianmeal moth)
Lineage: Eukaryota; Metazoa; Arthropoda; Insecta; Lepidoptera; Pyralidae
Exons: 3
Source: RefSeq, a predicted model, not a curated record
AACGAGUUUCGCUCCGAUGAUCAAAAUACAAAAAUUUCGUCAAAAUCAUCAAAGUGAUUUUGAGUAACCAAAGUGAAUUUGAGUAGCUAAUGUAUUAGUUAUACACAAAGAAUACUCAACAACUAUAAAUAAAGAACUGGUUUAGUCAUUUUUAAAUGAAGAUGGGUCGGUAGAUUAUUGACUUUUAAAGGAAGCAUUGGAAGGAUGUUUAUUGCAAUGUAGAGCUGAACAAAUCCACUUUGCUCCGGAUUUUCAAAUGUUUUCACAACAUCAGGUUAUAAACACUUAUCGCAAAAACAAAUAUUUUUGCAAUGGUCACAUGCCAUUUUUUCCUUAAAAAUUACACUGAAAAAAAGAAAUAGCUGAACCAGUUUUGCUAUUUGCAAAUUUCUUUAAUAGAUACCAAACUUUGGUUGUAAUUAUCUAAACCAAUGUAACUGCAUGUCCCAAACCAGAUAAGCUAAUCAGUUCUUGAUAAUCAGUAAUCAAAAUGUUAGCUAUUAUUUAUUAAAAUAAACCAGUCAAACUACUUUAGCUGCAAGAACAAACUGUUUCAUAGCUGGUAACCGAACAUAUGUACUUAAAUUUAAUACAAUGUUGAUUAAAACAUUGUCAUGAAUUUAUUUAUAGAUAACACAAUCAAAGUCAUUAUUUGGACAUUCAUCAAUUUAUUUAUUUGUAGUAAACUUUUCUAGCAGCCAUUAAAUCAUCAUUUGAUUAAUAUUUGCCUAUGUCGAAUGUAUGAAGUUAAAAUAAAAAUGUAAGUAUUAUCACAAAACUGUUUAACAAUAUUUAAUUAAAAUAUUGUUAAAACUAGUUGGCACUGUUGGCAGCACUGCGUCCGAGUCAGUACAUUAAAGUUAUAUGCGAUUCACGUUAGAACUCGUUCUCUGCGUUCGGUCAUUAUUGUGUGGCUUGGCUGGUGAAGGCGGCAAAUCGAAUUGAUUUUCACAUUCCUAUUGUUUUCGGGAGAUUUGUAGCGACAUUAUGUAUAUAAAAAAAACUUAGUAAACGUGUUUUCGUAAUAAAUAGUGCAAUGGCAGACGGUCAAGACGAGACCUCCGCUGAUCCUAUGAGUGACUAUUUGCGCUUAUGGGGUCUUGAAAUGUACAUAAAUUUGUUCAAAGCAUAAUAUCCAUGAUGAUAGCAUCCCUGCAUCAUCGCAUCAUCAAAUGCUGUGUGUAUCAAUAACUUGCCAAUCCUUACUGAUAGCACCAUACAUUACCUACUAGUAUAUUGCUGAAUCAGGACUUGAAAACUUACAGAACUUGGACAAAUAUACAGAAUGAGGAAGUACCAAACUUAAAUACAAAUGGAGUAUACAACACUUUGAGUUCAUGUAAUGAAGGAAAAGGACUACUUCUUCACUACAAAGAAAACGGAAUGAAUUCCUGAAAGUUAGCCUCUCCCGGUGUGCACUGAAUUAUAUAAAAUGAAGAAAACAGACUAUGAUUGUUAUGGUAAAUUUUAAACUCAAGUAAAUAUGUGUUUGACAUUAAUUUGGGCUAAGCAAUGUCUUAUUAAUAUUUGGUUAACUAUUCUUUAUUUUUAUUAGCCCUAUUUAUGUUUUAUAAUAUAUUGGUGUUUGAUUACCAGUUAUUAUACAAUGGAGAUACUACAGCGUAUGUAACUUAAAUUUAAUAAUCUGGAUUUUCUUGAGUGAAUGACAAGACAUUAAAUUGUGUUAUUUUAUUUUUUUGAACAUUUUAAAUAAAUAAUUCAAAAAA